RNAcentral lists this ribosomal RNA (612 nucleotides) under Ilanga sp. 20 LS-2013. RNAcentral describes it as "partial 12S ribosomal RNA". The record is from RNAcentral. Lineage: Eukaryota; Metazoa; Mollusca; Gastropoda; Trochida; Solariellidae.
GACAAACAGAUCAAACUAAAAUGAUAACAGUAUAAAAGGGGGUUAAAAAGUUAUUGAAUUGGAAAAUAAUGCUUUUUAUGGGGGUAGAAUUUGUGUAAAAAGAGAUAAUUUUUGUUUUCCUUAAUUUGAGGCCUCGAAAUUUUGUUAUGAGACCGGGAUUAGAUACCCCGUUAUUCAGAAUGUAAACAUUGACUAUAAAUAAAUUAAUUUACUUGAGUAUUACGAGUAGUAGGGAAGAUACUUAUGUGUUGCUUAAAACUCAAAAAACUUGGCGGUGCCUUAUAUCCUUCCAGGGGAACCUGUCCUAUAAUCGAUAGUCCACGUUUUAACUUUCUUUUUUUAGAAAUAGGCAGCUUGUAUACCGUCGUCGUCGGGUUACCUUUAAGAGUCGUGAAGUUAUCGGCAAGAGGGAGUAUGUAGAUUUAAUUUGGGUUAGUGUUUAUAUAUUUAUUCUAGACGUCAGAUCAAGGUGCAGCUUAUAAAAAAGAAGAGAUGGGUUACAGUAAUUAAAUUGUUAUUACGGAUCUUUGUUGUAAUAAGCAUAGUUGAAGGAGGACUUGGAAGUAAUUGUGAAAUGANAUAGUUUAGGUGAAAAAAGGCUCUGAGGUGCGC